Long non-coding RNA from Macadamia integrifolia, 1194 nucleotides. RefSeq lists it as uncharacterized. The record is from RefSeq and is a predicted model, not a curated record. The transcript has 2 exons. Lineage: Eukaryota; Viridiplantae; Streptophyta; Magnoliopsida; Proteales; Proteaceae.
UUAAAAGAUAGGAAAAUAAAGAUGUAGUGAAUUUACUGUAGCAUCCCACCCAUCAUGUUUGGUUGGGUGUGAAGGGGUGGGAGCUAGGAGAAGAAAGAGAAAAGAGAAAGAAAAGAAGACGAUGGAGUAGAGAAAUAAUGUCUACAAAUUUCAGCGUCGUCGGUGCAGAUUCACUACUCCUCCACCAUCUCUACCGACGACAGGGGUAGAGAAACCCAAAGAAGUCCUCUACCGGCGACUCUGUUGCUUACUUUUCUUCUCCCUUAAACUAUACUUUUUUUUUUUUUAAUGCUUCAGGUGCUAAGAAGGGUUUUAAAAGCCAGAAUCGCCCCUGGUUCAGAUCCUGCUGAUUUUGAUCCAGACUGAUCGGAAACAGUUCAGAAUCAGUAUGGAAGCUGCCGGAAUCCACUUGGAACCCUAGAAUAAUUGUAUGGAGAGGUCAAUUCGAAUUUUAGAGGGGGGGAAUCAAGAUGGGCCGCAGACGAUGCAACCGAUAGAUUCCGAUUUUUUAAACACUGAAGCUAAGCAGGUGGAAGAUGAAGAAGAGAGAAUCAGAGGGAGAGAGAAGGAAUCCCUCUUUUUGAUACAUCUCAGCGUCCGCAAUAAUAGACUCUCAUCAAGAGAUGUCGCUGAAAAAGAUAGAGACGGGGAGGAAGGAAGGAAGGAAAGAGAGACAGACAGAGUCCUGCUGAUUUCAAAGGACUUUGAGAAGGUUUCGGGUGGGAGAAGUUGCCUGCCACCUGGGCCGACAAGAAAAGUGGGUUGUCGGCUCACUUUUCCACCCCUAAGCAAAUAGACAUCUUUAGAAUUGUUAUUUUUUGGAAAAGUGCAAAAACAAUCCCACCGGAACAAUCUCACCGCACAACUCCCCUCUAAACAAACAGGCCCUCAAAGAAUCACACCUCCACCAAGAAGAUUGUUAUUUCAAUUCUUUUAGGGGUACAUGGCAGCUAUUAGAUUUCUCUUAACAUGCCAUUGAGGAGAUAGUUGCUUUUUUUAUCAAUUAACAAAAAAAGGAUCAUCUAAUACAUGGUUAAUUUCCCUUAUUUUAAUAUGCAUAGUAGAAUGGUCGUGUUGGUAGGCUUGGCAAUAUUAUUUACUUAAUAUCUGCCACAUGACAAGUAUGAUCUCAGAUAGAGUUUAUUGAAAUGCACUGAUUCAUGUACUCAAUCCCAUUUAGUUGAGAUUCUCUUA